This is a long non-coding RNA of Amphiprion ocellaris (clown anemonefish), 571 nucleotides long. Lineage: Eukaryota; Metazoa; Chordata; Actinopteri; Pomacentridae. The record is from Ensembl.
UAAAAAAGGAAAAUUUUUCACUGCAUAUUUUCACAGUUUACGACUCUGUAGCGCCUCCUGCUGUCCAAACACUGAGUGUGAGCUCUGACAGCUGCUAUCUGCUGUGUGCUGUGGACAAAGCUGCAGAGAUCACACUGUGGUGGUACAAAGAUGAGGAGGUAGUGAACCAGAGCAGCUCUGCUGGAUCUCUGCCUCUCACUGUGACCAAGCAGGACCUCAGCUCCUCUUACAGAUGUGUGGCUGGAAACCCUGCAGAAGAAAGGACUCUUCCAGUGGAUCUUCAGACGUUCUGUGGAGAGAACUCCACUGCAGUGCAGAACAACACAGAAUCAAGUUAUCAUUGGAUGACAGUUGGAAUCUUCACUGGAUAUGCUGCAUUUAAUGUUACACUAUUCACUGCAUUUUUUUUAUCUGGUGGACGUGCUUCAAGAGAAAUGAGUGGGCAGCUGCAGAAAGACAAGAUUCUGAGGACAUGACGCAGCAUGCUGUGUCAUUCCAGGAUCCCACGACGGAGACGGAGCAGGUCAUUGAAUUUUUAGAGAGCCUCUCGGCAGAAGAUCCACAAAUGGUG